AUAGAUAGAGGUGCGAAACGAAAGAGUAGCUGCAACAAAAGACGGCAAGCGGUUGCAGCAAAAGGUCGAAUCGCCGAAACCCGCUUUUCGGUUGCCGCCGACGGUGUGGUUGGGUCGCUGCAAAAAAUGCUGCGAACUGUCACGCAAGUGGAGGGCUAUC
RNAcentral lists this non-coding RNA (160 nucleotides) under human gut metagenome. RNAcentral describes it as "Lysine riboswitch". It matches the Rfam family "Lysine riboswitch aptamer". From Rfam's summary of the family: Riboswitches are metabolite binding domains within certain messenger RNAs that serve as precision sensors for their corresponding targets. Allosteric rearrangement of mRNA structure is mediated by ligand binding, and this results in modulation of gene expression. The record is from RNAcentral.